RNAcentral lists this ribosomal RNA (869 nucleotides) under Salmonella enterica subsp. enterica serovar Stanleyville. Its description in RNAcentral is "partial 23S ribosomal RNA". It matches the Rfam family "Bacterial large subunit ribosomal RNA", at positions 698 to 1566 of the family's 2925-position model. The record is from RNAcentral. Lineage: Bacteria; Pseudomonadati; Pseudomonadota; Gammaproteobacteria; Enterobacterales; Enterobacteriaceae.
AGUUGCAGGGUAUAGACCCGAAACCCGGUGAUCUAGCCAUGGGCAGGUUGAAGGUUGGGUAACACUAACUGGAGGACCGAACCGACUAAUGUUGAAAAAUUAGCGGAUGACCUGUGGCUGGGGGUGAAAGGCCAAUCAAACCGGGAGAUAGCUGGUUCUCCCCGAAAGCUAUUUAGGUAGCGCCUCGUGAAUUCAUCUCCGGGGGUAGAGCACUGUUUCGGCUAGGGGGCCAUCCCGGCUUACCAACCCGAUGCAAACUGCGAAUACCGGAGAAUGUUAUCACGGGAGACACACGGCGGGUGCUAACGUCCGUCGUGAAGAGGGAAACAACCCAGACCGCCAGCUAAGGUCCCAAAGUCAUGGUUAAGUGGGAAACGAUGUGGGAAGGCCCAGACAGCCAGGAUGUUGGCUUAGAAGCAGCCAUCAUUUAAAGAAAGCGUAAUAGCUCACUGGUCGAGUCGGCCUGCGCGGAAGAUGUAACGGGGCUAAACCAUGCACCGAAGCUGCGGCAGCGACACUGUGUGUUGUUGGGUAGGGGAGCGUUCUGUAAGCCUGCGAAGGUGGCCUGUGAGGGUUGCUGGAGGUAUCAGAAGUGCGAAUGCUGACAUAAGUAACGAUAAAGCGGGUGAAAAGCCCGCUCGCCGGAAGACCAAGGGUUCCUGUCCAACGUUAAUCGGGGCAGGGUGAGUCGACCCCUAAGGCGAGGCCGAAAGGCGUAGUCGAUGGGAAACGGGUUAAUAUUCCCGUACUUGGUGUUACUGCGAAGGGGGGACGGAGAAGGCUAUGUUGGCCGGGCGACGGUUGUCCCGGUUUAAGCGUGUAGGUGUGUGUUCCAGGUAAAUCCGGUUCACUUUAACACUGAGGCGUGA